ACAAAUCUCACCUCUCAAGUCUCAACAAUGAAAGCAUUUACUCUUGUGAUGAAUCCUGAACGCAAUAAAAUCUCGAGCCGUUGCUAUGUGCUGCAACGCGGACGGGCUAAGCGCCAUUGAUUUGAGGAUUCCUCCAUUUUUGGUUUCUGAAAACAUCAAAAUUUAGUUCAGUGUGUUUUAGCAAUUGGUGUUCUGUAGAAUUAAGGGACGAUGAGAAGAAUAAGAGGCUUAUUAUCAGUUGUGGUUAACCAUUAUCUCAAUAAACCCAAACCCACCCAUUUUGUUAAUCCUUUUGCUGCGGAGUUUGGCCUAGCUCUUAGGCCUUGUGCCACUCCAUCUCUAUUGUUGCCUGCCCUAAGCAAAUGCUAUGUCCAAGUCCUCCCUUUUUCUUCCUCUGAUUCCCUAAACUCCGAAGGUGAAACCUCGGAGGCUCCUGCAACGAAAAUAAGUCGAAAUGCUGGCGUUUAUGAUGAUGACGACGACGACAAUAACAGUGAAGUCGAUAGUGAAUGUGAAGAUGGUGACACCAAUUUUAAAAGAAUUGAUUCAGAAAAAGAUGACAGUCUUGACCGAGACAUAGAAGCUCUUUUGCGUAUACUACGUGAUGGGACGUCGUGUUCUGAGAUGAGGAGAAAGCUUGAUCAAUGUGUUGUAGUUGCAUCGUCGGAGUUGGUAGCUCAGGUUCUCGGACGAGUUCGUAAUGAUUGGGAGGCAGCAUUCACUUUCUUUCUGUGGGCUGGAAAGCAGCUGGGUUAUGCUCACUCUGUGCGGGAAUACCAUUCGAUGAUCGCUAUUCUUGGGAAGAUGAGAAAGUUUGACACUGCUUGGGCCUUGAUUGAUGAGAUGAGGACGCAAACAGCUGGUCCAUCUCUUGUAGCUCCGCAGACGCUCUUGAUCAUGAUUAGGCGAUAUUGUGCGGUGCAUGAUGUUGGGAGGGCGAUGAACACUUUCUAUGCUUACAAGCGUUUUAAUUUUUGUGUUGGGAUGGAUGAAUUCCAUGGACUUCUCUCUGCUCUUUGUCGGUAUAAGAAUGUACAGGAUGCAGAGCACUUGCUCUUUUGCAACAAAAAUGUCUUCCCUUUAAAUACGAAAAGCUUUAACAUUAUUCUCAAUGGUUGGUGCAAUGUGAUUGGUAGUCCACGCGAGGCACAAAGAAUUUGGUGGGAAAUGAGCAAGAGAGGCGUCCACCGUGAUGUUGUUUCAUAUGCAAGUAUCAUAUCUUGUCAUUCAAAAGCAGGCAACCUGUAUAAGGUGCUUAAGAUCUUCGACAGGAUGAAGGCACUGGAGAUUGCUCCAGAUCGGAAAGUUUAUAAUGCGGUGAUUCAUGCUCUUGGUAAAGGCAGGUUUGUGAAGGAAGCUAUUGAUCUCUUGAGAACAAUGGAAGAGAAGGGCGUUGCUCCAAAUGCUGUCACAUAUAACUCAUUAAUUAAGCCUCUUUGUAAGGCCCGAAAAAUAGAUGAAGCCAAACAGGUCUUUGAUGAAAUGUUGCGGCACGGCCUUCCUCCCUCAGUUCAGACUUACCAUGCCUUCUUCCGUGCUUUAAGGACUGUGGAAGAAGUCUUUAUGCUCUUGGAAAAGAUGAAAAAUACGGGUUGUGGACCAAAUUCUGAUACUUACAUAAUGUUGAUUAGAAAAUUUUGUCGAUGGAGACAAGUCGAUGAUGUCUGCAAGUUGUGGAAUGAGAUGAGUGAAAGUGGAGUCGGUCCUGAUCGGAGCUCAUAUAUAGUGCUGAUACAUGGGCUCUUCCUAAAUGGAAAGUUGGAGGAAGCUUACAAAUAUUACAUGGAGAUGAAGGAAAAAAAUUAUUUGCCAGAACCCAGAACAGAAGAGAUGCUCCAAGCAUGGUUGUCUGGAAAGCUGCAGAAAGCAGCAGAUGUAGAACACAAGCAACUAGACGGUACAGAGCCCUAUAGAAAAAGCAGACCGACCUCAGAGAAAUUUAAUGAACGUACACACUUUCUUCGUGAUCCCGAGACUAGAAGAGUUGUAAGAGAACGAGGAUUUUCCUUUUGGGAGAAGUAGGAUGUUUUGUUUUUGUAUAAAAGUUUCAUCAGCUAGAAAUGGCUCGUCAGUUUACCUUCAGGAUAAAGUUUCCUGUGGGCUCCCACACAGUUGCAGGAGAUGGACCAUCUUUGAAGGGCAAUGAUCAAUGUUUUUUCAUAUCAUUGUAUUGGAAUCUGGGACCAAACACUUACUAAUGGUCUUGUUGCAGACAUAGCCUAGUGGUAAUUCCACAUCUUGCUCCACCACAAGAUGUAGAGUUCAAAUCCCCCACUCUCAGGUUCAAGGGGAAAACAGAAAGAAAAACAAAAGAAAAACUUGCCAGUGGUAGCAAUAAAAUGGAAAGACAGGGAAUGUUGCACAAACAAAUCGGCCAAUAGCAGCAGUUAGUAUUGGAAUACACAUUCAGGUAACUAACACAAAGAACUCUGCAUGGAAGUAGGGAAGCAUUUACCGCAAACUUUGCUUUAGAUACUAACAUUUUGGGAUGGUUCAAAUUCUACAAAUCGGAGCUUGGACUUGGAAAACUCAACCAUAUGAUUUCUAAGGGGAAAACCCACCUUAGUAAGUAUGCUCUUGAAUACUUGGAACUUUUACGGUUCUCAAUAAGUGGGUGACUUGGCCAAAAUGUGAAAAAGGAUGUGACAAGUCUAUUUCUGUGGAUCAGAUUUUUGUUGGGGGAAGAUUCCUUUUUGUUUGGUAUCUUUAUUUUGACCAAAACAAAGCUGUGAAAAAAAGCAUCGUACUUGUGUUCCUGUGCACACCACGUGUUGAGAGAAACCAAUGGGUGGGAUAAGAAUGAACUUAUUAGUAGAGUAUAGUAGUAGUUCUUAACUUUUACAAAGAAUGAGUCAUUGUCAAGGCUUUUUUAUUUGAUGUACAGGGAAGGGGAAUUGAUGUUUUCCAUAUUGAAGUGGGAGAAAUAAUGUUUGAAUGGAGCAAAAUUGUACAACUCACACCUCUUUCUUGGCAUGAUUUAUGGUCAAAAUUAUAGGGAGAUCAUAAUAACAUCACAGAUGACAAUAUGACAUGCCAACA
RNA transcript from Morus notabilis, 3039 nucleotides. It is a transcript of the gene named pentatricopeptide repeat-containing protein At5g15010, mitochondrial, with no coding region annotated. NCBI's taxonomy places the organism in Eukaryota, Viridiplantae, Streptophyta, Magnoliopsida, Rosales, Moraceae. The transcript has 5 exons. The record is from RefSeq and is a predicted model, not a curated record.